RNAcentral lists this long non-coding RNA (675 nucleotides) under Equus caballus (horse). RNAcentral's name for it is "lncRNA (ENSECAG00000051486.1)". The record is from RNAcentral. Lineage: Eukaryota; Metazoa; Chordata; Mammalia; Perissodactyla; Equidae.
AGCUUAAACUGGCGGAGUCCGAUCAGAUGAGGCAAGAGAGGGUGCAGCCUCAGGGACGGUGGGCAUUGAACUUCCAGUGGUUGGAAUACCUCCACUCCCAGUCUUGAUGGCUCCCUAGCAUUCCCAACCCUGGGGCUUACCGUGGCUAUAGAGGAAGAUUGCAAGCUAGCAUUUUCCAAGCGUUUUCUGCACACUGCCCCUGUGAGGACAUACUCCUCAGACUGAAUUCUGCAGAUUCACAAUGUGCGUGUUCCCAAGAACAUUUUAAACGUUUAUCCAUGUGAUGCAAAUGUCACAUGGAAGAUAUAAAUACUACUCUUCAGAUUCAUUCUUCCUGAUCAAAGUCAGAGUUUGAUAUUAAUGUAAUUCAGAAAAUUGACAAGGAACUGUGUCUCCAAGGAAACGAGUGGAGGAGGGGGAGGGAGAUAUGAACCUGUGAUUUGUUUAAUAAUGAGUCACCCUGCCAUUUUGUCACUCUCCACGUCAUCCAUGAAUAUGCUAAUAGAUAAAGUGCUUGCAGUGUCCACAGCAGAACCCCCCUCCAAAGAGCGAGCAAAUCCUGACCAGGUGACACCAGGCCAGGUUCAAUUUCAGGAACUCCAUGUCAUCGAUCCUCAUAUUCCUUUGGUGAUUUUUUACUUAAAAAUUGCUCUACCUAUAAUUGUAUAUAAUAUU